UGGGACCCCUAAUGAUCCCAUGGAUGUGGCGAAAGCUGAACAAAAAG
Methanobacterium formicicum DSM 3637 is the source of this 47-nucleotide non-coding RNA. NCBI's taxonomy places the organism in Archaea, Methanobacteriati, Methanobacteriota, Methanobacteria, Methanobacteriales, Methanobacteriaceae. The record is from Rfam.